AUACGGAGGGUGCAAGCGUUGUUCGGAAUCACUGGGCGUAAAGGGCGCGCAGGCGGUUUGGUAAGUCAGAUGUGAAAGCCCACGGCUCAACCGUGGAAGUGCAUUUGAAACUGUCAGACUUGAGUACUAGAGGGGAAAGUGGAAUUCCCGGUGUAGAGGUGAAAUUCGUAGAUAUCGGGAGGAAUACCGGUGGCGAAGGCGACUUUCUGGCUAGAUACUGACGCUGAGGCGCGAAAGCGUGGGGGGCAAACAGGAUUAGAAACCCUAGUAGUCC
Molecule: ribosomal RNA, 274 nt
Filed under: uncultured bacterium
Lineage: Bacteria
Description: partial 16S ribosomal RNA
Rfam family: Bacterial small subunit ribosomal RNA
Source: RNAcentral